UUUGAAUCUACAUCUUAUAUAAUCCCAUGUACAUCAAAAUGUUUAGGUCUUCCUGUAAACAUAUUAUAUAGUACAUUAGUAGGAAUUAUUUGAAAUUUCAUAACUUGAAAAUAUAAAAAUUCAUAAUUUCAACAUACUAUAUUUUAUAAUUUCAACAUACAAAAAACAUACAUAAAAUAAUACAACAAAAUAAAUAUUGUAUCAAAAUUGUUCUACUCAAAGCAAU
RNAcentral lists this long non-coding RNA (226 nucleotides) under Capsicum annuum. Its description in RNAcentral is "long non-coding RNA (CANN_LNC006810)". The record is from RNAcentral. Lineage: Eukaryota; Viridiplantae; Streptophyta; Magnoliopsida; Solanales; Solanaceae.